Molecule: long non-coding RNA, 198 nt
Organism: Balaenoptera ricei (Rice's whale)
Lineage: Eukaryota; Metazoa; Chordata; Mammalia; Artiodactyla; Balaenopteridae
Exons: 3
Source: RefSeq, a predicted model, not a curated record
CACAGCCCCUUAGGGAGACAGCAGGACACCAGCCCCAACACGGCCGCGUGGCCCAAGGCGACAAGAAUCCAAUGAAGAAAGCAGGGCCCGGCUCAGAGAAGUGAAGUGAUCUGUCCUGGGUCACACAGCAAGUUAAAGGCAGGAACAGGACCAGAACUGAAGCUCCUCAACACUGAGCGGAUCCAUCAGAGGGGCACC